This 382-nucleotide ribosomal RNA is filed under the name uncultured eukaryote. Its description in RNAcentral is "partial 18S ribosomal RNA". It matches the Rfam family "Eukaryotic small subunit ribosomal RNA", at positions 592 to 976 of the family's 1831-position model. The record is from RNAcentral.
UGUAAGCGUAUACCAAAGUUGUUGCAGUUAAAACGCUCGUAGUCGGAAUUUGGCAGUUCCGGAUGUGUGCACGUCGUGUGCGCACUUCGCGGGGAUUGCUUUUGUGGUCUUGCGUAGGAUGAGGCACUUUUAUUAGUGAACGUCCUCACGCAACCACUUUUUACUGUGAGAAAAUCAGAGUGCUCAAAGCAGGCAUUUGCCGUGAAUGUAUUAGCAUGGAAUAAUAGAAUAGGACUUAGUUCUAUUUUGUUGGUUUGUUGGGACUGAGUAAUGAUUAAGAGGGACAGUUGGGGGCAUUUGUAUUUCGGUGCUAGAGGUGAAAUUCUUAGAUUACCGAAAGACAAACUGCUGCGAAAGCGUCUGCCAAGGAUGUUUUCAUUGA